RNAcentral lists this ribosomal RNA (630 nucleotides) under uncultured bacterium. Its description in RNAcentral is "bacterial SSU rRNA". It matches the Rfam family "Bacterial small subunit ribosomal RNA", at positions 399 to 1022 of the family's 1533-position model. The record is from RNAcentral.
GCGUGUGUGAUGAAGCCCUGGGGGUAGUAAAGCACUUUCAAUAGGAAGGAAUACCUAUCGGUUAAUACCCGGUAGACUGACAUUACCUAUACAAGAAGCACCGGCUAACUCCGUGCCAGCAGCCGCGGUAAUACGGAGGGUGCAAGCGUUAAUCGGAAUUACUGGGCGUAAAGCGUGCGUAGGCGGUUAUUUAAGUCAGAUGUGAAAGCCCUGGGCUUAACCUGNGAACGGCAUUUGAAACUGGCAAGCUAGAGUUGAGUAGAGGGGGGCGGAAUUUCCGGUGUAGCGGUGAAAUGCGUAGAUAUCGGAAGGAACACCCGUGGCGAAGGCGGCUCCCUGGACUCAAACUGACGCUGAGGUACGAAAGCGUGGGUAGCAAACAGGAUUAGAUACCCUGGUAGUCCACGCCGUAAACGAUGUCAACUAGCCGUUGGCUCUCUUAGAGAGUUAGUGGCGCAGCUAACGCAUUAAGUUGACCGCCUGGGGAGUACGGCCGCAAGGUUAAAACUCAAAUGAAUUGACGGGGGCCCGCACAAGCGGUGGAGCAUGUGGUUUAAUUCGAUGCAACGCGAAGAACCUUACCUACCCUUGACAUCCAGAGAAUCUGUUAGAGAUAGUAGAGUGCCUUCG